UACGUAGGGGGCAAGCGUUGUCCGGAUUUAUUGGGCGUAAAGAGCGUGUAGGCGGCUUUACAGGUCCGUUGUGAAAACUCGAGGCUCAACCUCGAGACGCCGGUGGAAACCGUAAGGCUAGAGUCCGGAAGAGGAGAGUGGAAUUCCUGGUGUAUCGGUGAAAUGCGCAGAUAUCAGGAAGAACACCCGUGGCGAAGGCGGCUCUCUGGGACGGUACUGACGCUGAGACGCGAAAGCGUGGGGAGCGAACAGG
RNAcentral lists this ribosomal RNA (253 nucleotides) under uncultured bacterium. RNAcentral's name for it is "partial 16S ribosomal RNA". It matches the Rfam family "Bacterial small subunit ribosomal RNA", at positions 524 to 776 of the family's 1533-position model. The record is from RNAcentral.